GUCCGUCACAGUUCUGAGUCAGUGCCUGCACAUUUCGCUAAAUUCCAGACAGGACUAAACCAAUCAUUUUACUUCAGAAAGCAUGCUGUGGAAACGGGGAUUCAGUCUUUUCGGAGGCAAGAGCCACAGAAUCAUGGGAAAGGGAAAGCGGUCUCCUUCAAAGAUGCAGUUUUGAUUGUGACCUCUGAUCUGGCUACAAUUUCCUCGGCAACUUGGGCUGCUGUAUCCAGGAAGCAGCAGCAAACUGAAGGGAGACUUGAAGGCGUGGAGAAGAAAGUGGACAGAGAAUGAAAACGACAGAGAAGAAAUGUGAUAGCUAAUGUGGAGAGCAGAACCCAAGAAAAUUUACAGAUGUUUAUCCUCGAUAAUGAAAUGGAAAUCAGGCAUACAGAGGAGCAUUCCACAUCAGCAGCAGUUUGUGCCUAAAGAGGAUGAGAGAGCAAAUGAGUCCAUUUUGUGGCAGUAGAAGCUGCAAGCGCAAAACCCUGGAGCCUGAGCUGGAAUCUGAACACAGGACAAGGAGGUGAAGCCAAUCCAGGACUGUCUUCCAAGUGAAUAAGGACACCUCACUCACUUCACAUCAAGGUGCCACAAAGGCUAAUGCAACCCUGGGUAAGUGAUGAACUUUUCCAAGGGAACAGAUCACUGCAACUUUUUCAGGAACCGAGUGACACUCAUCAAGAGCCUGAAACGAUAUGCUUUUUCAUGUUGUGUCAGUAAUUCUUUCCUGAGUCCUUUUGCAUGAGAAUAAUUAUAACCUGUCAUCUAUAUCUCCAUUAUCGUAGUUUGUGGCGUUCAAGACUUCCGGUUGUUCUUUCCCUGUCACUGUGUCCAAAGUUUCCUAGACUUAAAUGAAGUGUGGAGAAGGUAGCUCAUGGAAUUUACCCAAAGAUGACUCGGAAUCCCAAAAGACGUCUAUAUGCUGAAAGCAAAGGCCUUCAGAUGAAGACUGAAAACCAAAGACUAUAGACAGUCAUAAAAGGUAAGGUGAGAUGAGAUGGAUAAAAAAGCAGUAAGUCUCAAUAAACAGUACUGUGCAAAAGAGCCCAGCGCUCCUCUGCUGGGUUUCUGGGUCUAGUUACCAGUCUGGAGGACACCCUCAUGUGGCAUCCCGAGGAUUAGGAACAGCAUAGCCCUUGCUCUUACACUCUCCCAACUAUGACCUCAGAGAACAGUAGAUGAGCCAUCAAUCUGGUGAGGAAGUUCCACAUCACAGCUUAAUUUCAGUCCCUUAAGGUUAGCCCCAUGCAGCUCCAUUUUGUAUUCUUGGAAUAUGACUCUGUUCUGCUCAUGAAAAUAGAGUGGCAGUAUUGUUCCUCGGAGAAACUAUCUGCAAAAUGAUCCAUCACCUGUCCUCAGAAAAAGGGAGCUGUUUCCUAGGUAACUUAGAUGAGGUAAGAGCUAUUGCCUAAAUGGGUCAAGUUCGGAUUAAGGCUCAAGAUUUCCAGUAAGAAUAUUCUCUGUUUGGGGAGAGACAAAUGUACAUACCAAAUCAGAAUUGAAGAAACUCAUAUUAAGUAUCACCAGGGCCUUACCGUGCAAUUCAGCGGGGAUUAGAGUAGCCCUGCUUUUGAUUUCUUUAGAUUGAUGAUUUAACAGUACUAAUUUGGCUACUAGGUAUUAUCAGCUCCAGGCUCACCUACAAACGUCUGGAGACAUCAGACAGCACCAACCUGUAGACUCUUAGAGUCUCGGUGAACUUGAAUUAUAUCUGGAGCCACUGUUAAAAGCCGGCAACUCGUUUAUCCAAAUCUCAUCUCAUCGCGCCUCAUACAAAACAGUAUAAUUGAAACACUGAUGGAACUCAGUCUCUGGGGAUCCUACCACUGUGAAGGAAGAGCAGAUCCCCGAGGCUCUGUAGGGAAAAGACCCGCACCCAUGCCGUGGGUGCCAAAUUGGCCAGCUACAUGCAGUUCACGUAGCAGAGAACUGAGGCAGAGGUCAAUGUAACAUUCUUUAGCGUUAAGAAGACAAAGUUAAACUUUGUUGACUAAAAUUAGUAAAAUAAAUUAAG
This is a non-coding RNA of Myodes glareolus (Bank vole), 2014 nucleotides long. The record is from RefSeq and is a predicted model, not a curated record. Lineage: Eukaryota; Metazoa; Chordata; Mammalia; Rodentia; Cricetidae.